Molecule: ribosomal RNA, 151 nt
Filed under: uncultured bacterium
Lineage: Bacteria
Description: partial 16S ribosomal RNA
Rfam family: Bacterial small subunit ribosomal RNA
Source: RNAcentral
UGGGAUUUGCGCAUGGGGGCAACCCUGACGCAGCAAUACCGCGUGAGUGAUGAAGGUUUUCGGAUCGUAAAACUCUGUUAUUGGGGAAGAAGAAGUGACGGUACCCAAUGAGGAAGUCCCGGCUAACUACGUGCCAGCAGCCGCGGUAAUA